RNAcentral lists this ribosomal RNA (482 nucleotides) under uncultured bacterium. Its description in RNAcentral is "partial 16S ribosomal RNA". It matches the Rfam family "Bacterial small subunit ribosomal RNA", at positions 30 to 505 of the family's 1533-position model. The record is from RNAcentral.
AUUGAACGCUGGCGGCAGGCCUAACACAUGCAAGUCGAGCGGAUGAAGGGAGCUUGCUCCUGGAUUCAGCGGCGGACGGGUGAGUAAUGCCUAGGAAUCUGCCUGGUAGUGGGGGAUAACGUCCGGAAACGGGCGCUAAUACCGCAUACGUCCUGAGGGAGAAAGUGGGGGAUCUUCGGACCUCACGCUAUCAGAUGAGCCUAGGUCGGAUUAGCUAGUUGGUGGGGUAAAGGCCUACCAAGGCGACGAUCCGUAACUGGUCUGAGAGGAUGAUCAGUCACGCGGGAACUGAGACACGGUCCAGACUCCUACGGGAGGCAGGAGUGGGGAAUAUUGGACAAGGGGCGAAAGUCUGAUCCAGCCAUGCCGCGUGUGUGAAGAAGGUCUUCGGAUUGUAAAGCACUUUAAGGUGGGAGGAAGGGCAGUAAGUUAAUACCUUGCUGUUUUGACGUUACCAACAGAAUAAGCACCGGCUAACUUCG